CCGCUUGACGAAGAUGAAGUAGUCUCGCACAUCCUGGAAGGACUGGAUGCAGAUUACAACCCUUUCGUCUCUGCCAUAUCUAUGCGUGUAGAUCAAGGCGUUGGCCUGAAUGAGGUCUACUCUCUUUUGCUCUCGGCCGAGG
Hordeum vulgare subsp. vulgare (domesticated barley) is the source of this 142-nucleotide non-coding RNA. Lineage: Eukaryota; Viridiplantae; Streptophyta; Magnoliopsida; Poales; Poaceae. The record is from Rfam.